CAAGUCGAACGAACCCUUCGGGGUUAGUGGCGCACGGGUGCGUAACGCGUGGGGAUCUGCCCUUUGCUUCGGAAUAACAGUUAGAAAUGACUGCUAAUACCGGAUGAUGUCGAAAGACCAAAGAUUUAUCGGCAAAGGAUGAACCCGCGUAGGAUUAGCUAGUUGGUGGGGUAAAGGCCUACCAAGGCGACGAUCCCUAGCUGGUCUGAGAGGAUGAUCAGCCACACUGGAACUGAGACACGGUCCAGACUCCUACGGGAGGCAGCAGUGGGGAAUAUUGGACAAUGGGCGAAAGCCUGAUCCAGCCAUGCCGCGUGUGUGAAGAAGGCCUUCGGGUUGUAAAGCACUUUAAGCGAGGAGGAAGGUUCGCUGGCUAAUAUCCAGCGGAAUUGACGUUACUCGCAGAAUAAGCACCGGCUAACUCUGUGCCAGCAGCCCGCGGUAAUACAGAGGGUGCAAGCGGUAAUCGGA
Molecule: ribosomal RNA, 471 nt
Filed under: uncultured Sphingomonas sp.
Lineage: Bacteria; Pseudomonadati; Pseudomonadota; Alphaproteobacteria; Sphingomonadales; Sphingomonadaceae
Description: bacterial SSU rRNA
Rfam family: Bacterial small subunit ribosomal RNA
Source: RNAcentral